GCGCCCGUAGCUCAGUGGACAGAGCGGGGGCCUUCUAAGCCCAAGGUCGCGGGUUCGAAUCCUGCCGGGCGCACCA
RNAcentral lists this transfer RNA (76 nucleotides) under Bacillota bacterium. RNAcentral describes it as "Firmicutes bacterium (anaerobic digester metagenome) tRNA-Arg". It matches the Rfam family "tRNA". From Rfam's summary of the family: Transfer RNA (tRNA) molecules are approximately 80 nucleotides in length. Their secondary structure includes four short double-helical elements and three loops (D, anti-codon, and T loops). The record is from RNAcentral. Lineage: Bacteria; Bacillati; Bacillota. RNAcentral also lists the same sequence under 1 other name.